This 253-nucleotide ribosomal RNA is filed under the name uncultured bacterium. RNAcentral describes it as "partial 16S ribosomal RNA". It matches the Rfam family "Bacterial small subunit ribosomal RNA", at positions 524 to 776 of the family's 1533-position model. The record is from RNAcentral.
UACGGGGGGGGCAAGCGUUGUUCGGAAUUACUGGGCGUAAAGGGCUCGUAGGCGGCCAACUAAGUCAGACGUGAAAUCCCUCGGCUUAACUGGGGAACUGCGUCUGAUACUGGAUGGCUUGAGUUUGGGAGAGGGAUGCGGAAUUCCUGGUGUAGCGGUGAAAUGCGCAGAUAUCAGGAGGAACACCGGUGGCGAAGGCGGAUCUCUGGGCCUUACCUGACGCUCAGGUGCGAAAGCUAGGGGAGCGAACAGG